Molecule: long non-coding RNA, 758 nt
Organism: Acromyrmex echinatior (Panamanian leafcutter ant)
Lineage: Eukaryota; Metazoa; Arthropoda; Insecta; Hymenoptera; Formicidae
Source: RefSeq, a predicted model, not a curated record
GGCACCGCGACGUUGGGUCGCACUUUACGAGGCGGCCUUCCACGCGACUCGCGCGCGCAUCUCUCGCGCUGUCACACGACUCAUUUCGAGCCAUGUCAUUGCGCAUACGCUUCAUUAAUUGACCAUCGAAGUCCGAGAAACUUAGGAAUAAUUCCGUGUGGCCGAUCGCGUCUCUAGGAUCCUUUUGAAUAAUCUGAGCGAUUAUAGGAGAAUUUUGAGGGUUAUUCGGCUUAUCGGAACAUGCAGCAGGACUAAGCCAAUCGUUGAUUAAUUUUAUUUAUUGAAAUAAAGAAGAAAUAUCAUUCUGAAAACAGAAUACGGGAUUAUUAAAGCAAAAUAUGACAUUUCGGAUGAAGAAGUAUUUUAAUCCAUUUUAAUUCUUAGUGCCUUGGUAUAAAAAGAAGUAUUUGUAUCGAUAAUCUUGCAGUUUCGAUGCAACGGAGAAUAUAAUAUGUUUGAAGUGUGAACAUCUUCGUACGAAGCUUCAAUGUUCAUCAAGAAUAGCGUGAAGAUUAUACUGGUAGAAGAGAAUUUAAUUAAAUGGCAGAGAUCAAUCGACGGCCGGCAGCUAUCGAGCUUAGCUGGUCUCUAUCUUUCUCAACAAAAUAUAGAAUCGUCCGCUGGACAUGCGAUGGAAUUUCUUCGAGAUCGAGAAAUGUACCGGAUCAUUUAAUCGUUCGGUCGACGUAAGCGCAGGUCGAUUAUAAGAGGGAUAUAAAGAGGAGCCAGGGGUUAAGGCGGUGGCAAGUAAAACACUA